Molecule: long non-coding RNA, 817 nt
Organism: Mus musculus (house mouse)
Lineage: Eukaryota; Metazoa; Chordata; Mammalia; Rodentia; Muridae
Product: predicted gene, 30063
Exons: 3
Source: RefSeq, a predicted model, not a curated record
CCCUCUUCAUGCCUGCCAUAAGACCAGGGUGCUCCUGAUCACUGCCUAGUGAGUUUUAUAUCUGAAUGCCAGCUACUCAGGCUACUUAGAAAGAGCGGGCAGAGUUUUAAAGAAAGAGAAAAUUCAGCCUGUAUUCAAACUUUGAGAUUCAGAUGAUAAACUGCCAAGCUAGGGACUUUGCCUUAAUCAGAGAAGCCACAGGCAUGGCUGUUUACUGUGGUCUUUAAGAAACCAUCCGGGAGUGGAGCAUCUCUUGAAGUUACUGUGAUCGCCUCAAAUACGUGCAUUCUGGAUUUCAUCUGUUGAAUCGAAAGAGACUGACUUCAUGCCUGACACAGAACCACAUCUCCGUUAAGAGGCUCAACAUGGACACAGCAUGCAAGCAUUGGCAUUUGAGAUGUGGAGGACUGAUAGCUGAUUGGAUUAAUGUGGGUGAUGCCUUUGGGUUAAAAACAUGCUAAAAGCCUGCUGCCAAUACGAACUCAUCCCCUUCCACUGCUCUUGUUAUGCUGACAUCUGUAAGGUCACCACCUCACUUAAUUCUCAGUGGUCCAUCAACCACAGGAUGUCUGAUUGCCAGCUUACAUCACAAAGAGAAACAACUUAUUGAGAUGCUUAGAAGCCAACUGCAUUACCUUUCAUAGGCAAGACUAAUGAUUCACCAGCUGCAAGCAACAAUCGAAAAUGAGAAAAUAGAAAGAAAACACAAGCAUUUGUGGCGAACAUCCCCGAAGAUAAUUUUAAAUCCUGAUAAGUCACCAUGCUGUCCUAACCACUGGUUGCUAGCUAUUUCUUUUCUUUUGCAAAAUUAUUCUUG